UAUGUAAAGCCAGCAUUCAAGUUUUUAGCAAAGAUUAUGACUAACCAUAUUCAUAAUAACACUUAGAUCUCAUGUUUACUCAUAUUAAUAGCAUAAUCAACUAGCGAGCAAUUGAACAUAUAAAUCUUGCUAGACUACCCGCUCAUCUGGGGGCAUCGCACGAUCUACCUCGUUGGCGCAUUGUCAAAGAUCCAGCCGCCGUUUCUAUAGACAUUGCUAUUUCGUGCUAUAGCUGAUGACAUGUGGGGAUCCUCCUUUCCUAGCAGGCCCAUCUCUGCUGUGUCUGUUUGUGUGUGCCUCUUGGGUGAGAGAAGAGGGAGACGUGGGGUGGAUCGUGGUGGCGCCGCCUGCGCUUUCUCCUCCCUGCUCUCCACUAGGCCGCCUCCUACCCUUCACUUUUCUCUCCGGCGACGGCGACGGCGACGACCUGCAGACAAAAGGAGAAGGCGGUGACGGCGGGAGAGAGAAGAUGAGAGGGAGAGAGAAAAGGAAGGAGAGGAGGGAGAAAGAGAGAGGAAAGAGGAGAGGCCUUGGUGGUCCAGGGAGGCGUAUACGUAGAUGGCAGCCUCCGCCCUGAGCUCCAUCGGAUCCGCCGCCUUGUGAAGUCAUCCCAGGCCCCACGAACUCCAGGCUUCUGGCGCCGCCUGCAAGUCCUUGGGGAUAAGUAGGAGGAGUCACGGAUGAGGAGGAAGGAGAUCAGCAGCAGCAGGAGAUAUUCUUGUUCGAUUUGGUUCUCAUGGUGGCAUCUUCCCUACUGUCUCCUUUCUUUUUAGUUUCCAACUUUGAUGCUUGGAUUUGUUGUCUUGGCCAGCUAGCUGGAGUAGGAGGAGAGGAGACAGGCAGGAUGAGAAAGGAGACAAGCAGGAGGAAGAGAGAUUCUUGGGGGUUUGCUUUGCUCGCCUUAUGGAACAGGCUCUUCUGCGGGCAUCAGUUGCUUUGGAAUUGUUCAGAAUCGUUUGCUAUCAUGUAUACUAAGUGCGUAACUACUUUGGGGAAACAUGCUAGGAUUUGGAGUGCCAUGGCUUCCAAUCUUAAAAAUCAGCCGUGAAUGGUUUUCAACAAGAAACUUCAUGCUCACAAAGAGAGUUAUGGAGAUCAGGAGUAGAAAUUUUAUUAGUUUGUGCUCCGGGAGGAAUUGCAGCUGCGGACAAUUAGAUGAUUGCCAUGGAGGCUUGCAGAACCAGUGGUUACCUUGGCUGUGGCCUGCGAGGGGUGUGGCUUGCUGAAAAAUAGGUUUUUUUGGUAGCUCCAGGUAUACAGGUAUUACAUUUGAAAUGAAGCUUUUAAUGUCAUUUUUUUUCCACAUCUGAAUGAUUCUGAAUGUAUCCAAGUCUAUUCUCUACAAGUCAGAUUCUUGAUUCCUCUAAAUUUGCCUUAUUUGAAACACACAAAAUCAAUAUCGUAGAUAAAUAAAAUAUUCCAGGUAAGUUUCCAUUCAUAGGAUCAUCAGCUCCAUUCUCUUUGGUCGUAAUGCUAGGCUGCAGGUUGAUAUCUUAAUUGGUAGUCUACCAGGUUCUUCAAUUCUUUCUUAAGUUCUCUAUACUGAAGCAGCUAGGAUGGCAAGGCAUUUCGUUGAAGCUCUCAUCUUGAUAAUAGUUAUAUGAUGUCUACUAUGUGUUUUGCUUAGGUUUGUCAUGGAAGUACUCUCUAUUCUCUAACUUUCUCAGUCGAUGCAAAUGUAAGUUUCUUGAGUGAAGUCAAGUUUGCUUAGUGAUAUGCAUAUCUUUGUCACUGAGGAUCGGUCUAAAAAAGUAAAAGAGUGAAGAUCAGUUUCAGUCAGUGACAAAUAACGUGAAAUCAUACAUGGCAAACUAACAAGCGAUACAUCGUGCCGUGUCCCAGUCCUACUGUUCAUUACCAAUUACACUGUUUUUCUGACAAUCAAAGCUCAUAUUUUACAUAAAAAUGGUUAUAUUUUCCUGUCAAUCCUGCAUAGAUGCACUUCUAUUCUGAUAAAUGGGCUGUUCGCUUUAAAAGUAAGAUUCCCUUGGUAGCUUCACUUCAGUUGUAUCUCCGUACAUACAUGAGUGUUUCUUCCUUCCAUUUACAUGAGAGCAAAAUAAGGUAUGUCAAGUUAAAUCUUUGAUACAUUGUACGUGUUAACUGAAAGAGAAAUUCUAGAUGUGUACUUCCGGCCCUUUGUGUGAUUGUUCUAUGGUGAGGCUGCACCUCUUUUGUUGUCUUACGCGUGAUGUACUUGGUCAUGUGACAGCUCUUAGUUUUUUGAAUAUAGCGUCUGUCUACCAGUUGUUUCAUAUUCCUGGUUGUUUCUUUUGAUAAUUCUGUGAAUUCUUCCGAUAUUGGUUGUCCCUUAAUAUAGCACGCUUCUAUAUGCCAGUCGUUUGAUAUUUAAUUAAGUAAGGAAUUGUCAGGCUACUUGGAAGGAGUUCGUGUGAUGUCUAACCAAGUUCAGCAAGUUGCUGGAGCUGCGCUAGAGCCUGCUGUUUCAAUGAACACCUAUAACCUUAAAAAGACUCUUACAGAGGUUUAUGAUGCUAUAGCAAAACUGCAGCAACUUACUGAUGCAGUCAGUCUCUCCUUACAAAAGUAAGGCACGUAUCCAUAUUAUGUUGAGUCCAGUUCAACACAAAAUGGAUAUUCUGCUGAUGAUAUGGAUGGUGAGUAUAACAACUACUAUUAGACGAGCUCUGUCGACAUGCACCCGCCAUAGGGGCUAAUAGUGCUUAGACGUUGUGGCAUACCUUGCCUUCCUCUAUCAUGAUCAAUGUUGCUAUGCAUAAUAUAUGUUACCAAGUAGCCAUCUUGGUAAGCUAUCAACAAUAAAUUGCAAUCAAUGAUGAAUAAUAUAUGUUGUACUUGCUUAAGCCACUUUUUAUGUUGCGUAUUCUAUUUGAAUAUGCUAUGUACUCCCUCUGUAAACUAAUAUAAGAGUGUUUAGAUCACUAUUUUAGUGAUCUAAAUGCUCUCAUAUUAGUUUACGGAGGGAGUAAUAACCAGUUAAACUUCCAUCAACAGUUUUUCUAAAUCAGUAUGUGUCUGUGUGCUUGUUAUUAAUUCGAGUUUAUUAUACUUUGUGCUAAUGUCAUGGCAAUCAAGGGAUUGGACAGUUCGAUUCCACAGGUGGCUUCUCACCAAACCAGGUUGCCGUAGACACCAUCGGCUUCAAUCUCAUGGACGGCGAGGUAAUUUUUUCCUAACACCUAUUCAUCUUUGGUCAAAUGCUGCCACCGAGCUAUUUAGGCAAUAGCCAUAUUAAUGUUUGUUUCGAUCAAUUCACUGUAUUUCUGUCAUUUCAAAACUAUUACCUGUAUGUGUGUGAAAAGAAACCAGAUAUACAUGGCUUAAGAUGGAGGCUUGCACACUCAGGGUAGGUGGUCAAAGCCCUCUUCUAUUGUUGUGGCACUGGUGAGCUUGCACGGAGUAGCAGCCUGGAGAGGCGGCCGACGGUGCACUUGUGAAGCAACAAUAAACACGUCUCAUGCCAACACGCCAAGAUGAGCUUCACCCAAUCCCUCUCUCUGUAUAUAUGCAAGCUUGUGUGAUGUGCUCUGCUUCCUCCUCCCUUUUUUUAAUUAAUGGAUCUCUCACUGAGCAGAGCAUGUUGUUUAGGUUGGCAGCAUAAAUGAUAUAGCUAAGUUAUCUUCACCAAAGACAGAUUUUGGUAUGUGCAUUUGGGCCUUUCUGCCCUUCUUGUUCAAGAAAACAAGAUCCUGAUGAAUGUAAUGAUGUUGGACAAAGGGCGAUUUCUCAUGAUUGGGAGAGCCUUGCUGAUUCAUUUCGACCACAGUACCAGAACCCAGGUGAAUGCAGUUGACUCUUGAAGAUCGAGGGCACCAAAGACAUAUGCCGAGGCCGUCCAUCGACAACCUACCCAAGGUCCGGAUUCAUCGAGGAGUACAACAGGAGACGCUGUCGGCUGCCUGCAGGUCUGGAAACCACACAAUAUCUCUCAAACCCACUAUCCCCUAAUUGAUGAAUCUCCAUGCUCAGUUGGGCUACAGCUAAUUUAUCAUCGUUUCAUCUUAUUCUAUUAUGCAAACAUCCUGUUUUUCAACAAGAGAAAGAAUAUUACUCCCUCUGUUCACUUUUAUAAGGCCUUGAAGACAUUUCAGACAGGGUGCAAAGUAGCUCAUUUUCAGCUGUCUGAAAUGACUUAUAAAAGUGAACGGAGGGAGUAAGAAAUUUUGUUCAUUUUGUUGUAGCAAUAGCGACUGUAUGAACAGCAGUACUGUGUUUUUGGCUGGUUGUUCUUGUGUCUUCUGGCCAUGUGCGCUUUACCGCUUUGUUCCAAAAAAACCUGGAAUGUUUGUUCUGCUGGUACUGCUCUCUGGCUAGGACAUUUUUCUUUGAAUAACAUAAAUGAACCUAAUAUUGCUUAAUAUGUUAUAUCACAUUUUGUAUUGAUGUACUUGUGCACACCAUCUGGAUGCUUUGAAAGGUUUUACCUUGCUUUCUUUUGAUUUGAGUUGUCUUUAUGUCAAACACUAUUUGUUUUAAUAGAUUUAAUAUUUGAAGUGUCAUAAUUAAUUUUAUUUGGCAUGACUUGCAUGGUAUAAAUACAUACUAUAAGAACCCAUUUAGAGUUUAAAUGUCAGCAAGUUCUACUACCUUUUUCCAUUUGCUUUGCAUAGUUUCUAAUACAUUUAUGGCUGAUUUGAAGUUUGCACAUGUGAUGCUCUCUAUAUAAGCUAUGCAUUUGUAGUUGGAUUCUCUAUAGAGCUGAAAAUUACACUCAAAACUAUCUAUUUUUAUGAUACAUGGUCGUGUAACUGUGGAUGGAAAUCGAGUUAAGGUAAAAUGGAAAAGGGAUAAGAAAUGCAAUUUGUAUGAGCGAAAUCAUCCUGAAACAUAUGGUCGUUUAUUAUUUAUGCUUCUAUGGUAGUGAGAUCAGUUAGUAAUGUUACACAUAAUUAUUUUUUCCAGCUGUGUCCCUCACUCUGUUGAGCAUGUUUUUGUUGCACCGGUUAGUUGUUAAAGUGCAUGUAUUUCAGCCCAUCAUCAGGUUUCCACUAUUGUACAUUUCUCUUGCUACUUUGUUGUCUAAAUUAUAUUUUAGGAAACUAUUUGAACUCUUCAGCAGGCCAUUUGCUCUAUGUUGUUUCUCUUUAGGAAUUAGGAAUUUCUUCACGAUGCCACUUCCCACCUCGAAAGGCGUCGAUGUCGGCGAUCCAGUUUAUGUUCUGCAUGCAUCACUUCUUCAAAUGAAACCCCAACCUGAGCAAGGUCAUGGUAGAUUAGAUGAUAAUGUAUCUGUCUUAUGUGCGUGUGUGUCAGAACAAGUGAUCUAUUAGUUGAGCAUUAUGUAAAUUAGACUUGGCAAUAAAGCUUUGACAAGUGUAUUUGCUGUCUUAUUGUACAGUUUAUUACUAUCCAAAUUAUUCUUUGUAAACCAACUCAAAAGUUGUGAAUCGAUGAUUGCAUUUGCUAAGACAA
Molecule: long non-coding RNA, 5394 nt
Organism: Triticum aestivum (bread wheat)
Lineage: Eukaryota; Viridiplantae; Streptophyta; Magnoliopsida; Poales; Poaceae
Exons: 6
Source: RefSeq, a predicted model, not a curated record